ACGAACGCUGGCGGCGUGCUUAACACAUGCAAGUCGAACGUGAAAGUCCUUCGGGAUGAGUAAAGUGGCGCACGGGUGAGUAAUAAAUAGGAACGUACCUAUAGGUUUGGGAUAACUACGGGAAACUGUGGCUAAUACCGGAUGAGAUCGUAAGAUGAAAGAGGGCCUCUGCUUGCAAGCUCUCGCCUGUAGAUCGGCCUAUUUCCCAUUAGCUAGUUGGUAAGGUAAAGGCUUACCAAGGCUACGAUGGGUAACUGGUCUGAGAGGACGAUCAGUCACACUGGAACUGAGACACGGUCCAGACUCCUACGGGAGGCAGCAGUGGGGAAUAUUGCACAAUGGGCGCAAGCCUGAUGCAGCAACGCCGCGUGAGUGAAGAAGGCCCUUGGGUUGUAAAGCUCUUUAGGUUGGGAAGAGGGAACUGUUACCUAACACGUAAUGGUUCUGACGGUACCAGCAGAAUAAGCACCGGCUAACUCCGU
Molecule: ribosomal RNA, 482 nt
Filed under: uncultured bacterium
Lineage: Bacteria
Description: partial 16S ribosomal RNA
Rfam family: Bacterial small subunit ribosomal RNA
Source: RNAcentral